ACCAGUACCUGCUACACCUCUGUGGGAUCCGGGUGCCCACUCCCUGCUGGGCUCCCGCUGUCCAGGACCUAGGAUGACCCAGGCGAGUCUGAUGUGCAGUUAUUGGGCGCAAGUCUGCAUCACUGUGCCAGGCAGCUACACCGUGGGUGCUGAGGUCUCAGCCUUGGAGCCAUACUGUUGGAGGAAGUCCAUGGCUGUAGAGUCUGGGUCCUUGGGGCGCCCAGAUUUCUGAUUUCACUGUGGUGAGUUGAUGCCAAGUGCUGGGACCCCAUAGCCUGUGGCUAAGCCAAUUCACAUUGAUGCAGGUGGAAACCCCAAAGGAUCAGUUCUUUCACCAGUCCUUUGUUUUACAUCACUUGGUGGUGUUCGUGGAUAACUGAGGGACAGAUGAAUAGAGGCCACCACAAGAAAUAUCACCAGAGUUACUACUUGCUGCUGGCUUAGUGCUCCCUGAAACUGCUGUUUGCAUGAGCAUCGUCUCCAGACCUAGAGCAAGAGGUUCCUGGGUCAGAUCAUGGGUUCACUCAGGCUCUUCCUGUUGGGUACACACACUGAGAUUUAGAAAGGGAAAUGGGGUGUUGAUUUGAGGUGUGUGUUUCAGGACUGGGACGUGAACAGUUGCUGCUUGGUUUAUGUUUACGGCAUUUGUUUCAGAGGCAAAGAGUGUGUCCCUCAGCUGGGAGCCCAGAGCACAACCCGAGUCACCCAUGUGGGUGGCAGGAAGCUAACUGCUUAAGCCAUCACCACUGCAUGCCAUGGACUCGUUAGCAGGAAGCUGGAACCAACAACCAGAGCCUGGAUCCAAACCAGGCAGUGUUGCAGAACCCCAGAACUCGAAUCUGCCCACAGGAUCCCAGGUGGUGCUUACAAGGCAUGGAGCAAGGAGCUGGGCAACCAUCGCCCAACUCCCAGGCUAGCUCCAGGAAGAGGGGGUGAAGGUUCUUCAAAAUGAAGUUAGGGUUCAGAAGUAUGUAUUCAACUCCAACAUAGGUUUUUUUUGGUUUGUUUUUACUUUUGUUGUUGUUACUGUCCUAAUGACACUGCAAUAAAGUCGCAUGGUUGAUCCUUUUGUAAAUUGAGACUUGGUUACCAACGUGGAAUAUGAAAAGCCUUUGUCACUGUUUUCUCAGAGCAUGAGAAGAAAGCAGGGGUGCCUCUCUCACUUGAGGGAGGAUUUCCAGCGGUCUAUUAAACAUCCAUUGCAUUAUGCAAAUCAAAUU
Long non-coding RNA from Ochotona princeps (American pika), 1220 nucleotides. RefSeq lists it as uncharacterized. The record is from RefSeq and is a predicted model, not a curated record. The transcript is spliced from 3 exons. NCBI's taxonomy places the organism in Eukaryota, Metazoa, Chordata, Mammalia, Lagomorpha, Ochotonidae.